This 1529-nucleotide long non-coding RNA is filed under the name Anser brachyrhynchus (Pink-footed goose). RNAcentral's name for it is "lncRNA (ENSABRG00000016544.1)". Lineage: Eukaryota; Metazoa; Chordata; Aves; Anseriformes; Anatidae. The record is from RNAcentral.
ACUCCCAUUUUAAACUUCUACAAAAAAGGCAUCAUUGUCCAAGUCAUAAUUGCUCAGAAUACAGUUGAUAAUUCAUUAUGUCAAGAAUUCUGGAAUCUUUAAAUAUGUGUGCACGUACAUAUACGUGUAUCAUACGUGCAGUAGGGAUGAAUUACUGAAGCUUCCAGGCAGGAUGCCCAACAGUCACCGCUCCCAGCUAUGGGGUGUUCCUUAGCGUCACACAAUCGCUAAGGGAAAGGGAUCAGAGGGAAGCACUGCGGAAGGACACUCUGAAUCAGCCUCUGUUCCCCAGUGGUUCAGCGCUUUGAGGCUGCUCGUUAGAAAGCUUCUUCUGACAGUAAUUUAUAGUCCAGCAUUCCAGCGAGCUAAUUGCAGGGACAGAGAGGAGGCAGAAAGGAAUCCAGUGGAUUGCAUUGCUCUCACACCCUUCUGCAGCAGCCUCUCAGCCUAUAUCCCUGCCUGCUUCAGUGCUGUGUGACUGGCAGGAACUGCGAGACUGGGCAAAUAAUAAUGCUUCAGGUCCAUACUGUGCAGGCAGCAAUGACCAUACCAGCAGCAAGGCGCUGGGGAUUCAGGUUUCUCAAAAUAAAUACGUUUUUAGCAGGAAGAUGAAAUAAAAAGAAGAAAAAAUGGCACUUCUAAUCAAGGAGAUUAAAGAAUGGUCCGUUGUAGGUACUCAGAAUACACCUUGGAGGAACCACAGUCCAACAGGAAGAAAGCAACCGAGCUAACUAUACCUAAUAUAGCCUAAUUAAAGAAGUCUUUGAGUUACCUUCACAGUGCUCUUGCCAAUUCAUACUAUACCCACUGGUGUCAAAAGCAGUGCUGAGAUCCAAACAAAAGUAAAUGCCCACUCCCUAGUACUGGCUGUAUAUUUAGUUAGCUUUACAACACUGGCCACAGCAAAGAUUCACAUGUCUCUCUAAGGACAACUCCACACAGAAACUAUAAACAGUGCUGGAACUUGGGUAUUGUCAAAAAAUAUCUGUGAAGGGUAUGAACAGAAAGAAAUCAUAUACAGCUUCUUUCUUGGGGAAAUUUGUCUGUGGAUGUGGACAGACACAGAGCCAGACAAGUGGCUGUGCUGCAAGAAAGCCGCUGACAGUCUGAGAAUUGAUCUUAAGGUCCCCAUUUGGGUAACAUGAAGCAGAAGACAACGCACUUCUAAACCACCUUAUAUGAUUCAUAUAGUGAAUAACGCCACCCACAUCUAAUCUGUGUUUGCCUGAACUUCCAAAACAUUGCAAUCUGUGAAGAAAGCAGCCUACUGAAUUUAAAGUGGGUGCCUUGCUUUGAAAGAGCACUUUCUUAGGACAAACACUCCAUGCUAGGGAAAACCUAGGAUGACUCGAAGUCUGGAGUGGCUGGUUGUGGUGGAAGUGAAAUCGUUUCCUCAUUGCUGACUCCUCCUUAAAGGGUCAUAUAAUUAAAGGGUACAUCUCCAAGUGCACAAAACUAGAAUCUGUAUCAGUAGAAACACACAAGUUGGGAAGUUUCCCACUUCACAAUCUAUUGUUUCAACAGCAAAU